UUAUCCCCCCCUUUAUAUCCAAACGCUAAUUUUUUAUCCGAGAAUAGUAGUUCUCGGUUAUCCCCACCAACACCUUCAUUUUCUAUAUAAAACUACCUAAAAUUGUUCUUAUUCCCGGGAACAAUCUAAUUUUCAUCCAAACACUAUUUUUCUUAUCCCCAUACUUGUACUUAUCCCUGUAAUAGCUAGUUCUUACUUAUAUCCGAACCAAAU
RNAcentral lists this long non-coding RNA (213 nucleotides) under Ananas comosus (pineapple). RNAcentral's name for it is "long non-coding RNA (ACOM_LNC001781)". The record is from RNAcentral. Lineage: Eukaryota; Viridiplantae; Streptophyta; Magnoliopsida; Poales; Bromeliaceae.